UAAACAUAGACAGGAUAUGUGGCGAGCCCCAAGAAGAGAAUUUCAAACCGGAAUUGAUCAAAAAGAACUUAAGGGAGAUUAGAUGAUAGAUAAAGAGAAUCAAGUCACCUAUGUGCAACGACAAUUAAACAAGAGCUGGAGAAAAACCCUGAAGAAGACCAGGUUAUGGCAGUGUAGCCCCCUCAAAAGGGGAGUUUUUUUUAGUAUGUUUACUUUGUUUAUGGUGUUAACCUAUUAACAGCUUAAUGCGUUAUUCUUGUGUGUUCUAUAACUGUUUCUUUGGUCCGCUGGUAUAUGCCAAGAGUAUACAUUUAUAUGCGUGUCCCCUUUAAGAAGUUUUUUUUCAAUGCUGAAGUUUGGUUUACGUGCACUUGGUAAAAACGUGGGUUUCUGCAAUCAUGUUUGAUUAUACAGGGUUGAUUGGGUGAAUAAGUGCUUAGACCCGCCUAUGUAUAAGAGAUAAUGAUGUGAUUGGUCAAUGAUCGGGAGGAAGAGAAAAAAGGAGGAAAAAGUCAUCGAUAUAGAUCGGGAGGAUAUAUCCGCAAACCGCGAGUUAUAUUGAGAUUUUCGUGAGUGUUUUGUAAAUUGAUUGAUGUGUAUUGGUUGACACAGGCAAUGUGUUACAGUAUUUUUCACUUAGACUAUUUUGCCCGUGAGCGAGAGCGGCAGCACGUUCGGUUAGCCUUUAAUUAGUUGCCGGAUCACAUAGCGCUGUGGAAAGUGUUUUUGUGCUACAAACUUUAAUGGUGCCGGCUGGCCGUGAUCAUUCUGUCGUGGGAAGCGAUUAAGGAACUACAAAGCUUUUGUCGGGAUACCGGAUAGCGCACCCAGCCACCGGGAGCGUUGGGUGUUCCUCCGGCAUCGUGGGACGGCUGGCGGAAAGUCACUGAACGUGUUUAAAGUGCAGCCCCGGAGAAUAUCGUGCCUGCAUAAGGAACACAGAUCACAACACCAACAGCAGCCAUAACCAGGAGCAGAAGAGAAACACAUAUUCCUGCCAUCACACCUGAAGACUGAUCUGUGGAGGAUAAAACAUCAUCAUUAUCAUUAAUGAAUUCUUCACAGGCUUCAGUAAUGACAGAGAGACAAUAAUUAAUAUUAAAUGAAUUUAUUAAUAUGAUCAUAAACAUUUGUAACCAUGAUCAGAUUUCAUUAAAAAAAUACAUUUUUA
This is a long non-coding RNA of Triplophysa dalaica, 1171 nucleotides long. RefSeq lists it as uncharacterized. The transcript is spliced from 2 exons. The record is from RefSeq and is a predicted model, not a curated record. NCBI's taxonomy places the organism in Eukaryota, Metazoa, Chordata, Actinopteri, Cypriniformes, Nemacheilidae.